AAGACUAUACUUUCAGGGAUCAUUUCUAUAGUUUGUUACCUUAUUUUAUUUGUUUCACAUGAGAUGUACUCACCACU
This 77-nucleotide small nucleolar RNA is filed under the name Ailuropoda melanoleuca (giant panda). RNAcentral's name for it is "Small nucleolar RNA U3 (ENSAMEG00000027760.1)". It matches the Rfam family "Small nucleolar RNA U3", at positions 1 to 78 of the family's 219-position model. From Rfam's summary of the family: Small nucleolar RNAs (snoRNAs) are involved in the processing and modification of rRNA in the nucleolus. There are two main classes of snoRNAs: the box C/D class, and the box H/ACA class. Lineage: Eukaryota; Metazoa; Chordata; Mammalia; Carnivora; Ursidae. The record is from RNAcentral.